This 1088-nucleotide long non-coding RNA is filed under the name Homo sapiens (human). RNAcentral describes it as "long non-coding RNA NONHSAT077965.2". The record is from RNAcentral. Lineage: Eukaryota; Metazoa; Chordata; Mammalia; Primates; Hominidae.
GCCGAAAAGUCCGUUUUAAAAGAUGAUGUAUACAAAUUAUAGCACGGAGAGGGAACGGGCAAGUUGUUUCCUCUUUCCAUGCCUCCAACUCCUCUGAAAUGUGGGUCAUGAUGAUAAUAGGAAAAACUGUCUCUGCCAUAGAGAGGUGGAAAAAGUCCCGCGAAGUGUCCCCGGUAUCUAGAAAGCGCUCAGUAGUGUUUGCUGUUAUCUUAGGGAUAUCAGGCUGCCUGGACAUUUCUCAGAGGAUGAAGGGGAUUGUAGUAAGGAAGACCACCUUCCAGAGGAUGAAGGGGAUUGUAGGAAGGAAGACCACCUUCCAGAGGAUGAAGGGGAUUGUAGGAAGGAAGACCACCUUCCCGGGGCUGGGCAAGGCUGCGGUACUGUCUCUCAUCAGGUCCAGGAGGACUCAGCAGGCUGAUGCAGAGGGACACAGCGCAUCCGCCUUGGUGGAUGCAUGGCUUUCCUGGCUCCCCUGGGACGGGGGAGGAGGGUGAAGAUGGAGGGAAUCUGGCUGGCUGGGCCUUGUGUACUGGGGGGUGGAGGGCCCAUUUGACUGCAGGAAUUGCUCAAGCACAUAAGCACCUUGAAGUGUGUUACUAAGAUACAAGAAACAGGUUUGCUUUUGCCUAUUCCAGCAUGGUGUACCUCUCUUAGGAUACCUUUUAGCACAGGUAGCAGAAUACCAGCCAGCCUCCUGUGGCUCACAGCAUUAAGAUAUUUAAUCAUCUGACAUUACAUGAAGUCCAGUGUUAGGCAGGCAGGAGCUGCUCCCGUGACUCAGUGACAUCAGGUUGGUCCACAUCCUAGCAGUUCUCUUGGUGUUCCUGCGUGAUCAAAGGAUGACUGCCACACCCCAGCCUGCUGACCUCAGCCCUGGCGUGGGCAUAGGAGGGUCUGCGUGGCUGAGCAUCCAGUGUCCUUCGUACUGCCACUGACAGCCUCAGGCCUGAUUUCCAGCACUGUCUGUCCAGGAGCAAUGGGAGCAAGAGUCACUCCACGAGACUCUGGAGGCCUGAUAGGUGAGUACAUCCACUUUAUAGGGGAAAUGGUGGGAUGCUGGGUCUGUGUGGUCAGAGAUACAGGUGAAA